UCUAAGGAGCCUCAUGUGCCUGCGAUCAUGGUGGUUGUGGGUGUUGUUGUGGGGUUUUUAGUGGUUCGCAAUGUGAUUGGCUGGCAUGCUGUUGGGGUGUGGGGUAACAGGCCCUGGCCACCCAUGCGCAAGUUUUCAGGCUGUUUGUUUGGGUUUGUGUGUGGUGUUGGUGUGGUGGUUGAGAAUUGUAUAGUGGAUGCGAGCAUCUUUUGGUUUUUGUAAGUGUUUAAGGGCGUUCGGUGGAUGCCUUGGUACACGAAGCCGAUGAAGGACGUUGUAGCCUGCGAUAAGCCUCGGGGAGUUGGCAUACGAGCUGUGAUCCGAGGGUGUCCGAAUGGGGGAACCUGCCUGGAGUUGUUUCUGGGUACCGCCACCUGAAUGUAUAGGGUGGUUGGGGGUGA
This 401-nucleotide unclassified non-coding RNA is filed under the name Trueperella bernardiae. RNAcentral describes it as "partial 16S-23S ribosomal RNA intergenic spacer". The stretch from base 217 to 401 matches the Rfam family "Bacterial large subunit ribosomal RNA", at positions 1 to 183 of the family's 2925-position model. The record is from RNAcentral. Lineage: Bacteria; Bacillati; Actinomycetota; Actinomycetes; Actinomycetales; Actinomycetaceae.